Molecule: ribosomal RNA, 459 nt
Filed under: uncultured bacterium
Lineage: Bacteria
Description: SSU rRNA
Rfam family: Bacterial small subunit ribosomal RNA
Source: RNAcentral
AGAAUCAACGCUGGCGGCGUGCCUAACACAUGCAAGUCGAACGAGAAAGUGGAGCAAUCCAUGAGUAAAGUGGCGCACGGGUGAGUAACACGUGACUAACCUACCCUUGAGUGGGGGAUAACCUAGGGAACCUGGGCUAAUACCGCAUAAUACCUUCGGGUCAAAGGAGCAAUUCGCUUAAGGAGGGGGUCGCGGCCGAUUAGUUAGUUGGCGGGGUAAUGGCCCACCAAGACGAUGAUCGGUAUCCGGCCUGAGAGGGCGCACGGACACACUGGAACUGAAACACGGUCCAGACUCCUACGGGAGGCAGCAGUGGGGAAUUUUGCGCAAUGGGGGAAACCCUGACGCAGCAACGCCGCGUGGAGGAUGAAGUCCCUUGGGACGUAAACUCCUUUCGAUCGGGACGAUAAUGACGGUACCGGAAGAAGAAGCCCCGGCUAACUUCGCGCCAGCAGCCGC